GUGAGGGAUAUUGCGCAAUGGGCGGAAGCCUGACGCAGCAACGCCGCGUGCGGGAGGACAGCCUUCGGGUUGUAAACCGCUUUUCGGGGGGAAGAGGCAGGACGGUACCCUCGGAAGAAGUCUCGGCUAACUACGUGCCAGCAGCCGCGGUAAAACGUAGGAGGCAAGCGUUAUCCGGAUUUACUGGGUGUAAAGGGCGCGCAGGCGGUACCGCAAGUCGGGUGUGAAAGCGCCCAGGCUCAACCGGGCGAGGCGGCUCGAAACUGCGGGACUGGAGACAGGCAGAGGCGGGUGGAAUUCCGGGUGUAGUGGUGAAAUGCGUAGAGAUCCGGAGGAACACCAGUGGCGAAGGCGGCCCGCUGGGCCUGGACUGACGCUCAGGCGCGACAGCAUGGGGAGCGAACGGGAUUAGAAACCCGAGUAGUCC
Molecule: ribosomal RNA, 427 nt
Filed under: uncultured bacterium
Lineage: Bacteria
Description: bacterial SSU rRNA
Rfam family: Bacterial small subunit ribosomal RNA
Source: RNAcentral